RNAcentral lists this unclassified non-coding RNA (1474 nucleotides) under Hevea brasiliensis (rubber tree). The record is from RNAcentral. Lineage: Eukaryota; Viridiplantae; Streptophyta; Magnoliopsida; Malpighiales; Euphorbiaceae.
GGCUUCUCUAAAUUCUUCAAUUUCUUUGUAACACUGCCAAUAAAAAACCUCAAAUUUUCAUACAUAAUCAAUCCAUGGAGAAUUUUUCGUACUCUUCAUACCCAGAUUCUGUUAAUUCAUCCCCACGUUCCCGCGAAAUCGACUGCGAAAACGCUUCAUGGGAUGAUCAACCACCUUCUUCAAAUUCAAAUUACAAAGUGAAAUUCAUGUGUAGUUAUGGCGGAAAAAUACUCCCUAGACCCCAUGAUAAUCAGCUAGCUUAUGUCUCCGGUGAAACGAAGAUUCUUUCUGUUGAUCGGAAUAUAAGAUUUUCCAAUCUUGUUGCUAAGCUUUCGUCGCUUUCUGAUUGUGAUGUUUGCUUUAAGUAUCAGUUACCUGGUGAAGACCUUGAUGCUUUGAUUUCAGUAACGAAUGAUGAAGAUUUAGAGCAUAUGAUGCUUGAAUAUGAUCGACUUUAUAGGGGUACUGCUAAACCGGCGAGGCUCCGGUUGUUUUUAUUCCCGUUGAGUACUCCGGCGACGAGUACUUUUGGUUCUACUGACUCGAAAACUGAGAGUCAGUGGUUUGUUGAUGCUUUGAAUUCUGUUCAGUUGCAGAAUUUGGAUGUGAAUUCGCCGACGGCUGUUUCGUCGGCACCGGCGCCGGCGAAUAAUCCUGAUUUUCUGUUUGGGUUGGAUAAAGGGCAAGUUCAACAACAACAACCUCCACCGGUGAAGGUACAAGACCCAACUCCUUCACCGCCGGUGCCGGAGGUUUUCGUUAAGGAAUUUACUGGUUCCGAUGCUGGAUCGGAAGACCGGCAUAUCAUCGGAGAGAAUGUAAUCUCGCCGGCGGAUUAUCAGAGACAGAUUCAUGAAAUGCAGAGGCUGCAGCAGCAUAUUUCUAAUCAAGAACAAGCUAUGUACAACAGGAAGAUUGAGGAAUCGAUUCCGAGAGUUUAUCCCGGAGAAAACUAUCAGCAAAAAGCUCCACCGCCGCAACAGACGGCGGUGCCGGUCACGAAUCCGGCUAGUUUCUGGCCGGAACGUCACACGACUACUGGACCAUACCCUGCAUCAGCAGUGCAAACUGAACAGCCUGUAUAUAUAGUUCAAACACCCGCCGGAGUUUAUCAAACUCCGGCGAUGCGACCGGUAACUAGCCAAAUUGGUGGUCAAGCUUAUUACGGCAUGCAGCGCAUGAUGCCGGAGGUUUACCGGGAUCAGCCGGUGUACGGCGGAGUUCCUCCACAACCAACAAUUCAACAGCCGAAGAUGGGAGGAGUUUACACGUCGGAAAAUAUGGGGAUGGUGCGGCCACACGCGCCGCCGGAGCCAACCUAUACCCAAGUUGGGUAUGACAGUGUAGGGAGACAGGUGUAUUAUACUGCACCGGCGGGUGUUAUGCAACACCAAAUGCAGCAUCCAGCGGUGGCAGCUGCCGCCGCUGUAGCGGCGGUUGAUGGGAGGCAGAGUGGUGGCGCGUUGAAUCCAGA